Long non-coding RNA from Aquila chrysaetos chrysaetos, 567 nucleotides. RefSeq lists it as uncharacterized. The record is from RefSeq and is a predicted model, not a curated record. The transcript is spliced from 4 exons. NCBI's taxonomy places the organism in Eukaryota, Metazoa, Chordata, Aves, Accipitriformes, Accipitridae.
AUGCCUACCACCCUGCGAGCCAGUGAAGCCCCUUCCUAUCUUGGUCCUACAAGCUUCUGAGAGGGCAUUGAAGGCGAGUGGCACAGCAGGACGCAGCACCCACGAGGCUCCUGCUCCUUCUGAAGGCCCCGACGCUGACAAAAGUUACGGCCAUGUCUCAGGUUUGAGGUCAUAUCUCAGUCUGCACGAGCUUUCUUCUUGAGGUUGGGCCAUUGCAACGCUUUGGUAUCUAAAAUAAUAGCUUUUUAAGACAGUAUUACAGUCAUAUAACUUGUUGGGAAAAGCACACUCUAUGGCUCACAAUCUGAAUUAAGCAUGUGUCAUUGUGGCUGAGGAAGAAAUCUUCCACCUUCCAGAAACCUGAUAUUUUGGACCAAAUCCCUCUCUGAACAGGUUGUAUGCUGCCCUUUUCAAAAUCGAGCUAUCAGAAGAUGCCCUUCAGCAGAAGUGUUAAGAGGACUUGAAAUCUAUUAAGACUAGUCUCACAAAGAUCUGCAUAUGCUUAGAGCGAUGAUUCACGUGUUCCUGCAGUGCUGCCCUGGGACCAUUAUAGAUAUCUGAUGGAAC